Molecule: non-coding RNA, 376 nt
Organism: Pelobates cultripes (western spadefoot toad)
Lineage: Eukaryota; Metazoa; Chordata; Amphibia; Anura; Pelobatidae
Source: the annotation of a GenBank genome assembly
GCUUGUUAUUUUUACUGUUAUUGCUUUGUAUCGUAUUUGUGCGUAUAUGAGCUAUUAUAUUGUAUAUGUUCAUUAGUAUUUUGUGGUAUCGUGUAUGAUACAUAUGAAUGGGGGCUGCUUGUGGAAUUGUGUGUGUGUGGAUGGAUAUGUCACAUUGUGUGUUUGGUAGUGUGUGGGGGCUGUUUGGGGUAUUGCAUGUGAGAGGCUGCAUGUGGGUUUGUGUGCAUGUAUGUGGAUUGUUACUGGUGUUGCGUUUGUGCAGAUUGUAUGUGGGCUGUCCGUAUUAUUUGUAUGAGGGGAGGGUAAUUCUGCAUUUCUGUGUAUGUCUAGCAGUGUGGGUGACUUCCCUGGGUUCCAGUGGGGACCAGGCCAGCCA